GACGAACGCUGGCGGCGUGCUUAACACAUGCAAGUCGAACGGAAAGGCCCUGCUUUUGUGGGGUGCUCGAGUGGCGAACGGGUGAGUAACACGUUAGUAACCUGCCCUUGACUUUGGGAUAACUUCAGGAAACUGGGGCUAAUACCGGAUAGGAGCUCCUGCUGCAUGGUGGGGGUUGGAAAGUUUCGGCGGUUGGGGAUGGACUCGCGGCUUAUCAGCUUGUUGGUGGGGUAGUGGCUUACCAAGGCUUUGACGGGUAGCCGGCCUGAGAGGGUGACCGGCCACAUUGGGACUGAGAUACGGCCCAGAAUCCUACGGGAGGCAGCAGUGGGGAAUAUUGCACAAUGGGCGGAAGCCUGAUGCAGCAACGCCGCGUGCGGGAUGAAGGCCUUCGGGUUGUAAACCGCUUUCGCCUGUGACGAAGCGUGAGUGACGGUAAUGGGUAAAGAAGCACCGGCUAACUACGUG
This 468-nucleotide ribosomal RNA is filed under the name uncultured bacterium. Its description in RNAcentral is "partial 16S ribosomal RNA". It matches the Rfam family "Bacterial small subunit ribosomal RNA", at positions 28 to 507 of the family's 1533-position model. The record is from RNAcentral.